This 495-nucleotide ribosomal RNA is filed under the name uncultured Sphingobacteriales bacterium. RNAcentral's name for it is "bacterial SSU rRNA". It matches the Rfam family "Bacterial small subunit ribosomal RNA", at positions 903 to 1382 of the family's 1533-position model. The record is from RNAcentral. Lineage: Bacteria; Pseudomonadati; Bacteroidota; Sphingobacteriia; Sphingobacteriales.
CCAGCCCGCUCAGAAACUUAAAUGAAUUGACGGGGGCCCGCACAAGCGGUGGAGCAUGUGGUUUAAUUCGAUGAUACGCGAGGAACCUUACCUGGGCUCAAAUGUAUGUUGACGUAUUCUGAAAGGGAUACUUCUUCGGACAAUAUACAAGGUGCUGCAUGGUUGUCGUCAGCUCGUGCCGUGAGGUGUCGGGUUAAGUCCCAUAACGAGCGCACCCCUAUCAUUAGUUGCCAUCAGGUCAAGCUGGGGACUCUAAUGAAACUGCCUACGCAAGUAGUGAGGAAGGUGGGGAUGACGUCAAAUCAGCACGGCCCUUACGUCCAGGGCUACACACGUGCUACAAUGGCCGGUACAAAGGGCAGCUACCUGGUGACAGGAUGCUAAUCUCAAAAGCCGGUCUCAGUUCGGAUCGGAGUCUGCAACCCGACUCCGUGAAGCUGGGAUCGCUAGUAAUCGCGCAUCAGCCAUGGCGCGGUGAAUACGUUCCCGGGCCUU